UGCCUCUAUAGGGCCCUCUGCCUGGGCGUCUGCCUCUGUCUCUAUCUUUGGGUCCUCCUGUGUGGACUCUGUGACGUCAAUGCGAACACGCCGACCCCCUAGCACUAUGGUACCAGGAGGGCUCCCGUGUCGCGCCUCAACCUGAAGAACUGCAUGCCUCUGCUAUGGCGUGAGAUCAGCCCCAAUCCUCAGGGCACCUGAGCGUCCACCCCUCUCUGCU
RNAcentral lists this long non-coding RNA (220 nucleotides) under Sorghum bicolor (sorghum). RNAcentral describes it as "long non-coding RNA (SBIC_LNC006836)". Lineage: Eukaryota; Viridiplantae; Streptophyta; Magnoliopsida; Poales; Poaceae. The record is from RNAcentral.